AUUUCUCAAUUCCUUUGCAAUGUUCACAAAGAAGUUACCAUUCACAAAGGUCUUUACUUCUACCUGCAGAACAAAUCAAAAUAGAACAGCACUUGAUGAUGGCUUGAAAAUUUCCAAAGCAUGUAAAGGGAGUUUACAAAGUCCUCCAGCAUUUAUUUGAUAAGUGUUCGGUGAGUGCCUAUUGAAGGCCAGGCAGGGCAGUGAUGUUGGGGUUAGACAGUAACCAGGGAGACAUCCCUGCCCUCUGGGAACUGACAUCAAGUCGGGGAGAAAGUAAAUAAACAACAUAAUGGUAGGCAGUGAUCAGUGGUACGAAGAGAGAGACCUGGCAGUGGUAAGGAGUGAAUAGGAAGUGUGGAGGCUUAGUCAGAGCAAAUGUCUUGAGUCAUUUGGGAAUGAGGGCAUUUAUUCCAAUGAGAGACUCCUGUGUUCACUCAAGCACAUUGAGGGUUUUCUCCAAGGAUUUCCUUUAGAAGGAGACUUUGUGUAUUUCUCCUAGGAUCUUCUCUCAACCCCAGGAUAUAGUAUAGCCCAAGCUCAGUCCUUCCUGACUUCACUGCUGUGAGAAGUUACCAUCUUCUCCCCUAGGCACUGCUUGGAUGAGGAGGAGACAUUUGAGGAGGACUUUGGCUUUAUUUUGUCCCUCAAGUGAGCAAGCAGCCCUUGGCAAGCCAGGAAGAGUGCUCUCACAGGACCUCAAUCAUGCUGACACCGUGACCUUGGACUUCCAGCCUCCAGAACUGUGAGAAAGUAAAUUUGUGUUGUUUAAGUCAUCUAGGCUAUGGUAUCUGUUAUGGCAGCCUGAGAUGACUAAUACAGACAACUUAAUAACUCCUACCUAUAGGGAGGGUACACUAUAGUGAGGCAAAAGCUGCAAUUGUUUAAGAAACUACUCACAUUAACUGGGAGACAGGGAUACUUGGUAUUUUGAGGUUUGGACAAUAUUUGUGUUUUGUCUGUGUUCAGAUGUGAUUAUGGAGUGGUCUUGAUUACGUCUUGAUCCAUUGUGGUCAAAGAGUGGCCGUGUCUGAUACUGAUAGACUGUGGAGUUGUUUGUGUUCAACACAGAACACAAGACUUGGCUGUGAGUGACAGCUUUCCUAACAGCCCUGAAGCAGUGGGGACUUCCACAAACCUCUCCCAAGAAUCUGACUCAGGAGAAGGAACACUUGUGUGAAAAGAGGAGGACGGGCAUCUGGACGAAGUAGAAAUCAGUGUGCAGAUGCCAUUGAAGUGGCAGCAUCACAGAGCCAGGAGAAGGAGAGAUUCAUUUGUUAAAUUAUUUUUAAAUAAUUGCUACUGUUAAGACAUAUAUACGUAUUUUUUCUCACUGCAAAACUGGAGUGGUGCUCUUGUGCCACUGAAUUGCUAUAAUGGAUAUCUUUUGUUUUUGCCUUCCAAGUUUCCAUUCCAUCUCCUUCAGGUAACAGCACCUGCUUUAGCUCUGGAUGUCUUGCCGUCCCCAGUGAGAUGAAGUCUUGUUGGAACUUUCAAUCAAGAUGCCCCAAGCAUGUUCCCCUGGGUCACAUGACCCAAGUCAGAUUAGUCAAGUACUUCUUCCCUGGAUUUUGAUUUUUGAAUGGAGUGAUAAAAAAGAUGACAACCCAAAUUCUUUAUCAUGGCCUACAAAACUCUCUGUGAUCUACUCUCUGCCUAUCUCUCCAUUGUCAUCUUCUGCCACGCUGCCAUGAGUCACAAUGUCACCACACUCCAGUCCCACUGGCCACCUUUCUGUUUCCUGAACCCACCAAGCCUUUUCCAGCGUGAGGUCGCUGCACUUGCUGUUCCCUUUGCCUGAAAUUCCCUUUCCCUUUUAUUUCUCAGCUGGCUUCUCUUUCAUCCUCCAGACCUCUACAUAAAUACUCUCUUUAUAAGAUUCUUUCUUUGAACCAUCUUAUUUAAAGUAGGCCUCCGUUAUUUUUAAUUUUCCCAUGCUAUUUUAUUUUAUUUGUUACAUACUCACUAGCUGACCCCUUGUUUAUAUAUUUGUUAAUUUCUUUAUUGUCUACUUUCUAUAAAGUAUGAGCAUGACAGCAUCAAGUAAGUAGAAGCUGCGUCUGUGUAGUUCUCUGCAGCAUCUCCAGUGCAGGCAGAUGCAGAGUUGUUGAUGAGUUCUCAUUUGUCCUGGAUCUUCUUAUUCUGCAUCCAUCUCUCCUUCUUGACUUCUGGUCCUGCUGAUCAAAAUUGGCCCCAAGCCCACUACCAGAUAUAGCAUUGUGAACUCACAGGGGUGGUAGCCCAAAAAGCCAGUAAUCUUCCAGAGAAAUUCCUCAUCAGCCCCCUUCAUGGUCUUUCUCUAACAGUGGAUGUGCCUAGCUUCCAGAUUUCUGAAAGCCCUGACUCACUUAGUUAUUCCAGGGCUGGUUUCUCUGAUUCUUUGAUUCCCUAUUCAGAUCUUUCUCUUCCCAGCCCCUCCCACCAUUGUGUAAGGUCUAACUCCUAUAAUGAAUUCCUUAUUCCAUAAUCCUCAUGGAGUUUUCUUCCCUGAGUGAACUGUGAUACAACUCUCAAGGUCACCUCAUGGCUCAGGACAGCAUCAGGAGGUUCAGCCACCAUCUCCAUAUUGCAGGCCAGAAGCAGGUCAAUGACAGGUGGGCAGAAGGAUGCUGUGGUAGCCAGAAUCCAAGGCAAUCCCUAUGAUCCCACCUCCUUGGAUUCACUCUCUUGAGUGCUUCACCUGACCUUGGAGGUUCCCUUUGCCCUGCCCAAUCACCUGUAGAUAGGACUACUAUUACCCUCUCCAUGGUUAAGCCCUGUGACUUUGCCAUCUAUGUCCUGCUGGAGCCUGACUGAUACAGCAAGAGGAGGCAUUGCCCAGGAAGUACCAAUUUUUCACACCCCCUGAGAGUGAAGGCAGAUAUGAACCCAAGGGACAAUACUAUUUUCUCAUUGCCUGGCUUCUUGGAUCAAAAUUGACACCUUUGGGAGUAAACUCCUGGAUUCCUGGACAAUUUGGGAAGGAGAGGUAAAUAUUGGAUUCUUGCUAAUAUAGGCAUAUGAAGUCUCAAGUGAUUAACUGAAAAAUAAAGAUUGGGUACUGUUUGUCUCCCCCCAAGCUGAAUAGGUUGAAGCCUAACCCCCAGUGUGAUGGUAUUAGGAAACAGGGCCUUUGGGGAGAAAUUAAGUUUAGGUGAAAUCAUGAAGGUGGAGCCCCCAUGGUGAGAUUAGUGCCAUUAUAAGAAGGGCCACCAGAACUUCCUCUCUCCAACAUGUGAGGACACAGGGAGAAGGCAGCCAUCUGCAAGCCAGGAAGUGGGCCCUCAUCAAGAACUGAAUCUGCCAUCAUCCUAAUCUUGGACUUCCCAUCCUCCAGAACUGUGAGAAAUAAAUGUCUGUUGUUUAAAUCACCCAGUCUAUGGUCUUGUUAUAGCAGCCUGAGCUGCCUAUGACAUAUACCAUGCCCAUACCUCAAUCUGGUGACAUGAGUCAUGCAGGUGCAAUUUAGCUGCACUCAUCGGGCACAGUCAUUUGCAUGUUGAUGAGCAAGCUUCCAUCCGUAUCAUUAGCUACUCAGUUUACCUAGUCUCAGCUGUUCAAUAUUAGAUAUAGCUUUACAGUUUACAUUGCUCAGGAAAUGAGAGCAAAGCAGCACAGAAUGGAUGUUCUUGGCACAAAAACCUGGGCUCACCUGAAUCCAUAGAGGCACUUGGGAUGUCACAGUCCAGGCCAAAGAGGCUUGGCGGUAUCUUAAGAGUGUCAGUAGUCUUCGGCAUUCCUCAAACUGUACCAGGUCUCAGAAUCGCCCUCCAGCUGCCUCCUGUGGUUUCCUCUGUGGUGUAUGAAGUGGAGGUGGCACAAUAUGACAGACACAUAACAGAUAGCCAGCAGGUGGUAGGCUGAAUGUACAUCUGAAUGCAUCCACAAAAACAGGGUGCUCUUUCAGGGGAGCACAUGACUAACUUCUAUACACGUAGGCAACUGUCUUUGUGCAGUUCAUGGCCGUUGCAGGUUGGAUUCUUUGGGAAGUGGACCCUGAGUUUGUUGUAUAGGAUGUUCUUUAAGGAGUGCUGUUGGGAUCAAGCAACACCUGUGGAAGGGAGAAGAAGACCGAGUGGGCAGACGGAGAAGUUAAGCUGUGGUGUAUACACAGGAAGAACUGGCAUAUACUGCUGCUACAGAAACAAAAUACUAGAAAAGGAUGAAAAAUAUGUGUGAUUUGUUGAUUCUAUUUUACUGCACUCGACACUAGACACACAGUUGGCAUUAGCUCUAAACUAAAAGAAAAUGAAGUUGGGAAUGAAAUAAAAGCAGACACAAUUGUGCAAAUUAAUAAAAGAAACCUC
Non-coding RNA from Equus caballus (horse), 4283 nucleotides. The record is from RefSeq and is a predicted model, not a curated record. Lineage: Eukaryota; Metazoa; Chordata; Mammalia; Perissodactyla; Equidae.